UACGUAGGAUGCGAGCGUUGUCCGGAUUUAUUGGGUUUAAAGGGUGCGUAGGCGGCUUAAUAAGUCAGUGGUAAAAGGUAGCAGCUUAACUGUUUUACACGCCAUUGAUACUGUUAGGCUUGAGAUUUUUUGAGGAAGGCAGAAUUCCUGAUGUAGCGGUGAAAUGCAUAGAUAUCAGGAGGAAUACCAAUUGCGAAGGCAGCUUUCUGGGGAACAUCUGACGCUGAGGCACGAAAGCAUGGGGAUCAAACAGG
This 254-nucleotide ribosomal RNA is filed under the name uncultured bacterium. Its description in RNAcentral is "partial 16S ribosomal RNA". It matches the Rfam family "Bacterial small subunit ribosomal RNA", at positions 524 to 776 of the family's 1533-position model. The record is from RNAcentral.